Long non-coding RNA from Poecilia latipinna (sailfin molly), 235 nucleotides. RefSeq lists it as uncharacterized. The transcript is spliced from 4 exons. The record is from RefSeq and is a predicted model, not a curated record. Lineage: Eukaryota; Metazoa; Chordata; Actinopteri; Cyprinodontiformes; Poeciliidae.
UCUGCCCAGGCUGGAUGUUUUGAUUAGUUUUAAGAAAGUUCUAUUGAUUUCUCUGUGUUUUAUUUUGGAGGAGAAUUUUUAGAGAACAGUGCAUUGUGGGUAUCAGAGGCUGUUGCAGUUUGGAAUACCUGUUGGUAGAGAGAGAGCCUGCCUGUUAAUGUGUGAACUGCACCUCCUGUGUUAAUCUUUGCUUGCACCUCCGAAAGCAAUGGCUAUUUUGUUUCUGAACAAACCU